AGUUGCGUAGCUCAGUUGGCAGAGCAUUGGGCUAGUAUUCCAAAGGUCGUAGGUUCGAAUCCCACCGUGGCCA
Molecule: non-coding RNA, 73 nt
Organism: Paramuricea clavata
Lineage: Eukaryota; Metazoa; Cnidaria; Anthozoa; Malacalcyonacea; Plexauridae
Source: the annotation of a GenBank genome assembly